GGCGGAGGCCGGGGUCGUGGAAUGAGA
This 27-nucleotide non-coding RNA is filed under the name Cricetulus griseus (Chinese hamster). Lineage: Eukaryota; Metazoa; Chordata; Mammalia; Rodentia; Cricetidae. The record is from RNAcentral.